RNAcentral lists this transfer RNA (77 nucleotides) under Ignavibacteriaceae bacterium. Its description in RNAcentral is "tRNA-Val". It matches the Rfam family "tRNA". From Rfam's summary of the family: Transfer RNA (tRNA) molecules are approximately 80 nucleotides in length. Their secondary structure includes four short double-helical elements and three loops (D, anti-codon, and T loops). Lineage: Bacteria; Pseudomonadati; Ignavibacteriota; Ignavibacteria; Ignavibacteriales; Ignavibacteriaceae. The record is from RNAcentral.
GGCUGGUUAGUUUAUUCGGUUCAAAACACUGGUCUUACAAACCGGAGAGUGCGGUUCGAAUCCGUGACCGGCUACCA